AUACGGAGGGUGCGAGCGUUAUCCGGAAUUACUGGGUUUAAAGGGUGCGUAGGCGGCCUGGUAAGUCAGGGGUGAAAGUCCAGGGCUUAACCGUGGGAUUGCCUUUGAUACUGCUGGGCUUGAAUGAGGUUGAGGUGGGCGGAAUGUGGCAUGUAACGGUGAAAUGUGUAGAUAUGCCAUAGAACACCGAUUGCGAAGGCAGCUCACUGGACCUUUUUUGACGCUGAGGCACGAAAGCGUGGGGAGCGAACAGGAUUAGAUACCCCAGUAGUCC
This 274-nucleotide ribosomal RNA is filed under the name uncultured bacterium. RNAcentral's name for it is "partial 16S ribosomal RNA". It matches the Rfam family "Bacterial small subunit ribosomal RNA", at positions 523 to 796 of the family's 1533-position model. The record is from RNAcentral.